CUGGAGUGGUGAGGAGGGACAGGAGGUGAGGACAGUUCUUACCUGACAGGUACAGUCAUGACCUGGCAUCGCUGUCUCUGGGUUUGGCAGAUGUCCAGUGCUUUCUUGCCUUAUUGCCCUGAUGAGAACCUCCAAAUUAACGGCUAUCCCUCAUGCUGCCACAGGAACCUUCUUUUGCCCUUCAUCUGUCCUCCCUCCACGUCAGGGAGGAGAAACUGAAUAAGGGGAAACACAGAAUGAGGACCCAGCGGGUGGACUAUGGUGCACAUCCUCUUCCUCCUGUGGCUCCUCAAUCUCUUUCAUCCAACAUUGCUGAAAAUGACUCCCACUGGGUUGCAUUUGGGCCAGGAGCCUCAGCUGGAUAUGUGAAAUGUCAAGGGUUCUAUGUCUACGGAUCAUAAAAAUGGCAAAAGAGACCUGGAAAAUGUCUGCUCACAUGCCCUGGGCCAACAUGGAUUUAAGGAAAACACAUCCAUUCUUCCAGCCAUCAGCGCAGUCUGGAAGCCAUCACAAGCCUGUAAGUUUUACUACUUUAUUUUGGAUCCAUCACAGAGAAGAAGCCUGCUGCCAAGCUGACUGGCACACAUGGAGCCCUUAUGUGCCAGGGCAUGAAACUGGUCUGCUGAAUGAGGGCCCAGGCUGUAAAUGAGUAUCUGAGCUGAGAACAUCACCAGUAUCAGCAGAAAGGUAACUGUUCAUUGGCUU
This is a long non-coding RNA of Neofelis nebulosa (Clouded leopard), 705 nucleotides long. RefSeq lists it as uncharacterized. The record is from RefSeq and is a predicted model, not a curated record. Lineage: Eukaryota; Metazoa; Chordata; Mammalia; Carnivora; Felidae. The transcript is spliced from 4 exons.